Molecule: ribosomal RNA, 420 nt
Filed under: uncultured Rhodocyclaceae bacterium
Lineage: Bacteria; Pseudomonadati; Pseudomonadota; Betaproteobacteria; Rhodocyclales; Rhodocyclaceae
Description: bacterial SSU rRNA
Rfam family: Bacterial small subunit ribosomal RNA
Source: RNAcentral
CGAAAACCUUACCUACCCUUGACAUGUCCGGAAUCCGAAGAGAUUUGGGAGUGCUCGCAAGAGAACCGGAACACAGGUGCUGCAUGGCUGUCGUCAGCUCGUGUCGUGAGAUGUUGGGUUAAGUCCCGCAACGAGCGCAACCCUUGUCAUUAGUUGCCAUCAUUUGGUUGGGCACUCUAAUGAGACUGCCGGUGACAAACCGGAGGAAGGUGGGGAUGACGUCAAGUCCUCAUGGCCCUUAUGGGUAGGGCUUCACACGUCAUACAAUGGUCGGUACAGAGGGUUGCCAACCCGCGAGGGGGAGCUAAUCCCACAAAAGCCGAUCGUAGUCCGGAUCGCAGUCUGCAACUCGACUGCGUGAAGUCGGAAUCGCUAGUAAUCGUGGAUCAGAAUGUCACGGUGAAUACGUUCCCGGGUCUU